CAUGUGUAAGUAUAAAUAUUUGACUUUGAAACUGCGAAUGGCUCAUUAUAUCAGUUAUAGUUUAUUUGAUGAACAAUACUACUUGGAUAACCGUAGUAAUUCUAGAGCUAAUACAUGACAAAAUCCUCGACUUUGAAGAGGUGUAUUUAUUAGAAUGAAACCAAGAGACUUCGGUCUAUUUGUGAGUAAUAAUAACUAAUCGUAUCGCAUGCUUAGGUAGCGAUAUGUCUUUCAAGUUUCUGCCCUAUCAGCUUUGGAUGGUAGUGUAUUGGACUACCAUGGCAGUAACGGGUAACGAAGAAUUUGGGUUCGAUUUCGGAGAGGGAGCCUGAGAGAUGGCUACCACAUCCAAGGAAGGCAGCAGGCGCGUAAAUUACCCAAUCCUGACAUAGGGAGGUAGUGACAAUAAAUCACAAUGCGGAACUAUUAGUUUUGCAAUUGGAUUGAGAACAAUGUACAAAUGUUAUCGAUAAACAAUUGGAGGGCAAGUCUGGUGCCAGCAGCCGCGGUAAUUCCAGCUCCAAUAGCGUAUAUUAACGUUGUU
This 544-nucleotide ribosomal RNA is filed under the name Blastocystis sp. subtype 4. Its description in RNAcentral is "SSU rRNA". It matches the Rfam family "Eukaryotic small subunit ribosomal RNA", at positions 54 to 614 of the family's 1831-position model. The record is from RNAcentral. Lineage: Eukaryota; Bigyra; Opalinata; Blastocystidae.